Molecule: long non-coding RNA, 980 nt
Organism: Acyrthosiphon pisum (pea aphid)
Lineage: Eukaryota; Metazoa; Arthropoda; Insecta; Hemiptera; Aphididae
Exons: 2
Source: RefSeq, a predicted model, not a curated record
GAGUGGUGGAAUAGAAUCAAAUUGUGUGAUUGUCCUUAAAAAAAACACUUUAUGCAGUUUAAACAAAUUCAGUUUCAGCGACUAUGGCCUUUAGCUUUUUGGGGGAGGUUACGGUUGAUCGAGGAUCGCGGGUUUUUAAGUGGAACAAGAAUUUGUUGUCAAGAACCCGGGUGAUCACCCAUCUGGGAACCAGCGACGCCACGGAAGGGGCUGGACCACAGAACACAUUACUGGCUGUGGCUAACCACUCCGCCACACCGAGCUCCAAUUAUAUUUAUUUAUUUUUUAAUUUAUUAUAUAUUUUAUGCAUACCUAGGUAAUUCAUAUUUUCUAACAAUAAUUUUCAUUUUUAUUGUAUUACCUUUUAUAUAUUUAUUUAUAAUUAUUCUUACACCAAAUCUUUUAUCGUAGACACUGUAAGACGGACCUAUGUAUGUAUAUGACUUGAAUAUUAUGUACCUAAUUUUACUUUUAAAGUUAAUUAAAAUAGUAAAAACUCUUACGCAUCUCAACUAAAUUAACUUCACCGUAUACACUUACUUGUAAAAUGCCUGUAUGAAAUACGUAUGUAUAUUAUGUAUUAUUAAUUAUUAUCUAUUACAUAAUAUAAUAUGCAUUCGUUUAACAUAGUUCUGGGUUAAAACAUAGCAAUAGGGUUAUCUGACUGGUUUUAGUCAAAUGACAGUUUUUUAAUUAAUGACUUGUGAAAAAAUACAUGCACUUUCUUCUUCUUUUUUUUUUAACUAAAAAACGCAUAUUUAUUAACAUGUGUGUCACUGACUCAGUGUAUAUUAUACAUAUUAGGUACCUAUAUAAUAUAUGUUAUUGUUACACGCCAUUACAGUUAAAAAAUAUAUAUUAUAAUAACAUCCUAGUAUUAAUUUAGGCUGCAAACUAAUAGCAAAAGUCUUGCAAAAGAGAAAUCUAAAUUAUUCUUAAAUUAAAUAUGUUUCUUAUAAAAUAUACAUAGUCAUCAUGUA